GCUGGGUGUGGUGGUGCACACCUGUAAUCCCAGCUACUCGGGAGGCUGAGGCAGGAGAAUCACUUGAACCCAGGAGGCAGAGGUUGCAGUGAGCCAAGAUUGUGCCACUGCACUCUAGCCUGGGUGACAGAGUGAGACUCUGUCUCAG
Molecule: signal recognition particle RNA, 148 nt
Filed under: Gorilla gorilla gorilla (western lowland gorilla)
Lineage: Eukaryota; Metazoa; Chordata; Mammalia; Primates; Hominidae
Description: Metazoan signal recognition particle RNA
Rfam family: Metazoan signal recognition particle RNA
About the family: The signal recognition particle (SRP) is a universally conserved ribonucleoprotein.
Source: Rfam by way of RNAcentral